This 519-nucleotide ribosomal RNA is filed under the name uncultured eukaryote. Its description in RNAcentral is "SSU rRNA". It matches the Rfam family "Eukaryotic small subunit ribosomal RNA", at positions 1161 to 1699 of the family's 1831-position model. The record is from RNAcentral.
AGGGCACCACCAGGAGUGGAGCCUGCGGCUUAAUUUGACUCAACACGGGAAAACUCACCCGGCCCGGACACUGGAAGGAUUGACAGAUUGAGAGCUCUUUCUUGAUUCAGUGGGUGGUGGUGCAUGGCCGUUCUUAGUUGGUGGAGCGAUUUGUCUGGUUAAUUCCGAUAACGAACGAGACUCUAGCCUAUUAAAUAGGCUCCCGGCUUUUAAACGCCGGGAAGACUUCUUAGAGGGACAGGUGGCGGUUCAGCCGCACGAAAGAGAGCAAUAACAGGUCUGUGAUGCCCUUUGUUGUCCGGGGCCGCACGCGCGCUACACUGAAGAGAUCAGCGUGCUUUAUGUUCCUGCUCCGACCGGAGUGGGGAACCCAGUGAACCUUCUUCGUGAUUGGGAUAGAAGAUUGUAAUUAUUCUUCUUGAACGAGGAAUUCCCAGUAAAUGCGAGUCAUAAGCUCGCGUUGAUUACGUCCCUGCCCUUUGUACACACCGCCCGUCGCUACUACCGAUUGAACGAUUU